GUUUAAAUAGUUUAAUAAAAAUAUUGAUUUGUGGAAUCAAUGAUAUAAGUGAUUAUUUUAAACA
Molecule: transfer RNA, 64 nt
Filed under: Serica sp. NS-2020
Lineage: Eukaryota; Metazoa; Arthropoda; Insecta; Coleoptera; Scarabaeidae
Description: tRNA-His
Source: RNAcentral